This 1085-nucleotide long non-coding RNA is filed under the name Mytilus galloprovincialis (Mediterranean mussel). The record is from RNAcentral. Lineage: Eukaryota; Metazoa; Mollusca; Bivalvia; Mytilida; Mytilidae.
GGGAUAUACUAAAUAAAUAAACGAUGUGCAGGAGAGUGAAAUAUUUCUAGAAUAUUAUAUUUGUACAUGUUUAACUACAAGGAAAUACUACAAUACAUUUCAUUUUACUAUCAAUUUGAUGAUUGAUUGCUAGUGUUGUAUCCUUUUAAAAAGAAUACUAUAUCAAUCAUCAAGUCGUCUAUAGCGCCUGGUUUCUUGCUCCAAUGUCUUGAAUCCAUUUUCUUAAGUUUGGUAUGUCUGCAUCUCCUCAUUGUCAAAAACAUGCAUUUUUUCCGCCCGCAGGAUUCCCGGGCACUAGAAAUUGGGCCUAGCGUCUCCAAUCUACAAUCUAUGAUCCAGAACCUUUUGGGUCUGCAAUCUAUCCACAAAAAUUUACGAUUCUGCUCUGAAAAAUAAUAUAAUAACUUAAAAUAAACUAAUAUUUAACCAUUUAAAUACAUCGUCUUUUUUCGUUGGCUACUCAACCUCGCGGUAUAUUUAUAUGGUUUCAGUAGAGUGCGCCUCUUUUCUUGCGUUGUCUUUUCCCCCUCUGAUAUGUAUUUUAUGUGAUAUGAGUUUAAUGUUAUUCUUUAUUUGCUGCGAUAUUUGUUGUGUUUAUGUGCACAUAAAAAAGAUAAUAAUUUAAAAUAAAUUUAUAUUUAUAACCAUUUAAAUACAUCGGUUUUUUUCGAUGGCUACUCUCCCUCGCGGAAACCAUGGGGUGAAUUAUAUGGUUUAAGCAGAGUGCACCCGUCUGCUUCGUGCAAGUGUUCCCCUUUUUUUACGUUGUCUUUUUUUUUCGUCUGGUAUGUAUUUCAUGUGAUAUGAAGUCAAUGUUAUUCUUUAUUGCUAUUUGUUGUGUUAUGUGCAGGUGUACUUUUUUUUGUAUGAAUAAAUUGUGGGAUUUUGGCGGGAAAUUUGUGGGUGGGUAAAUUUCCCAAAUUGACUAUUCAAUUGUUAUGCUUCAAAACGGACUAAUGGUAUGAUAUGAAGCUUUUUGGGAUGGGUGGAGUUAAUUUAUUUUGACAAGGAGUUGGUUUUAUUGCAUCUUACAUAGAGUACAUAUAUAAAGAUUUUCUCAUUUUUUUUAAAUUUCUACAUUUACA